RNAcentral lists this ribosomal RNA (403 nucleotides) under uncultured microorganism. RNAcentral describes it as "bacterial SSU rRNA". It matches the Rfam family "Archaeal small subunit ribosomal RNA", at positions 330 to 733 of the family's 1478-position model. The record is from RNAcentral.
GUGCACCAGGCGAGAAUCCUUCGCAAUGCGGGAAACCGCGACGAGGGGACUCCCAGUGCCUACGCUCAGCGUAGGCUGUUCCCGAGCCUAGAAAGCUCGGGGAGUAAGGGCUGGGUAAGACGGGUGCCAGCCGCCGCGGUAAUACCCGCAGCCCGAGUGGUGGCCACUAUUAUUGGGCCUAAAGCGUCCGUAGCCGGCCCGGUAAAUGCCUGGGUAAAUCGUGAGGCCUAACCUCACGAAUUCCGGGUAGACUGCCGGGCUAGGGACCGGAGGAGGGAGAGGGUACUCCAGGGGUAGGGGUGAAAUCCUGUAAUCCCCUGGAGGACCACCGGUGGCGAAGGCGCUCUCCUAGGACGGGUCCGACGGUGAGGGACGAAAGCCAGGGGGAGCGAACCGGAUUAGA